GCCACGGUGGUCUAGCGGUAGGAACGCUGGCCUUGUAAUCCUGGGGUCUCGGGUUCGAUUCCCGGCGGUGCCC
Molecule: transfer RNA, 73 nt
Filed under: Zootermopsis nevadensis
Lineage: Eukaryota; Metazoa; Arthropoda; Insecta; Blattodea; Termopsidae
Rfam family: tRNA
About the family: Transfer RNA (tRNA) molecules are approximately 80 nucleotides in length.
Source: Rfam by way of RNAcentral